Molecule: RNA transcript, 1875 nt
Organism: Juglans microcarpa x Juglans regia
Lineage: Eukaryota; Viridiplantae; Streptophyta; Magnoliopsida; Fagales; Juglandaceae
Exons: 6
Source: RefSeq, a predicted model, not a curated record
GGUCUGGAACACGAAGUUUGAGGACUUUCCCUUCCACAAGAUAUCCUCUUCAAGUAGGCAACCGUCAACCAUUUCUUAUUCUUCAAUAUAUCCUUUUCAAAUGAUAUUUAUCACAUUCUGGCAGCCCUUGGAUUUGCGUUACACAUGGGAUAAUGAGUUGGAGUGUUUGGGCUCUGUCUUGUCUCAAGUAGAAAAGCAUCUUAUUUUUUCUGAAAAAGACUGUCAUUGUGUGUACUAGGCUACUAGCCAUGUCCACAAUUACUGAUGGCACAAUAAGAAGUGAAAGACCUGUGGGCCGAAAUUUAAAAACUUCGCCCCAAAAAGAAGUCAUGCAACUUUUUUUUUUUUGUGAUGCUGUGGUGGCUCUAACCAAAUAAAAAAAUUUCCUUCCUACAGGAAGAUGAUAGUAUUACAGAGACAAAAGUUGCUGCAGGACAAGUGGCUGCCAAUAGAAUAAGGCUUUUGAUUGCUGGGUCCCAAGCAUGUUCUUUAAUUGGGAUGUCUAGUCAAAACAUUGAGAAAGUGAGAAAUUCUUUUGGUGCUACAAUUACUGUUCUUGCUCAGAAUCAGAUGCCUUUGUGUGCGUCUGCUCAUGAAUCUGAUCGAGUGGUACAGGUGAGUUUGUGUACAGUGUCAAUGCUGAAUGGAACUAAAAUUAAUGCUCUCAGUGGUAUAGUAGAGUAUGUUUUAUUAUUUGGUUUUUUAAAAUUAUUUUACCUACAUAAGCUUGUCAAACAUGAGGAACGAAAACUUUUUUUGCUUGGUUUCAUUUUUCUAACUAGAUGCAUUUUCAGUGCAAUCAAUAUAUGCAAAAGCAUUCCAAGUAAACUGUUAACAAUUAGGUGAAAAUAGCUUCUCCAUCCAUUGUGUAGUCAUUUGUUGAAAGAUGUUUGAUGUGGUGUUGCAUAUCGUUAAUAUUUAAGGUGUUGAGCCAUUAAAAUACAAGACUUCCAUUUUGUUGUGCUAAUGAAGUUUAAUUCAUUUCAUCCUAUUCAUGCUUAUAUAUGCCUCUUUUGUUUCUUUCUACUGCUAAUAAUGAAUAAUGAUACGGUUUCUGUUAAACACAGAUAUCAGGUGAUGUUCCUGCAGUACUGAAGGCUUUGGAAGAGAUUGGUUCUCAACUAAGAGAAAACCACCACGACAAGUGAUUUCUAUUAGCCCAGCAUACAAUUAUACAUCAAUCAGACCACCCCAACAAUAUCUGGACCCAACUUCAGGACAACCAAUCUUGCAGCUGAUUAUGUAACCUUUGAGAUGGUGAUAUUGGAAACACUGGUUGGUGGGCUGAUUGGCAGGUGCGGCUCCAACAUAUCAAGGGUUACAAAUGAGUCUGGAGCAAUGAUAAAGGUUUAUGGUGGGAAAGGUGAACAAAAACAUAGACAAAUUCAAUUUGGCGGUUUUGCUAACAGGUAGCUUUGGCUAAACAGAGGGUUGACGAGUACAUAUAUUCCCAGUUGAUACAACAAGCCAGUGCUCAACAGCAAGCUUUGCAGAGAUGAUGAAGACGGAAUGGCAAGAUCUCUAUCCCCAUGUUCGGUAGCCAUCUUAAUUGAAGUACCGGGUAGAAUCCUGUCAGUGUUUCAUUAGUCCCCAAGUACUUCGUCAGUGUUAGUACGAAGGUAAAGAUGCUGCUGCAACGCUGUUGUACCAGACUUUGGACCGCAGGUGUUACAUCUGACCAUCUUCUUGUAUUUAAUGUUCGGCUGUGAACGGUUGUUGGGUAUCUACAUCAUUUCAUUCCAAAAUUCAGGUGGUGCAUAGGAAUCAUGUGUUUGGUUCGAUUGGCAUUGUAUUGAGGAUUUAUAUAUCAGAGUUCACAUGCAACACGGUGUGCUAGUCUUCCUGAAUGUAAAUUUUGAGUAAACAUUUAUUUAA